This 8479-nucleotide long non-coding RNA is filed under the name Chlamydomonas reinhardtii. Its description in RNAcentral is "long non-coding RNA (CREI_LNC001186)". The record is from RNAcentral. Lineage: Eukaryota; Viridiplantae; Chlorophyta; Chlorophyceae; Chlamydomonadales; Chlamydomonadaceae.
AGAGCUUUGAGAGCCCAUAGGCUGUUUGAAACAUCUUGCGGCUUGAAGCCGUGGCCCGCCACCGUUCUCAAGCGAGAAGCCACAGCUGCCGCCAAGGUCUGCAAGUGUGGCGAUGAGGUGGGGUCCCAGCCUGAGCCCCGCUGCUGCUGGUCUUGCUUGAGCUUGCCGAGCGCGUACAUGACAAUUGCGAGGUUCUGAGGUUCCGCCUUCCCAAGAACCUCAGGAUCCACUAGCCGCUCCAGCAGAGCUGCUGCAAGCUGAGCCUCCGUGCCGCCGCCGACCAAUCCAGCUUUGCCCAGCGCCCACAGCGGAAUGCUGCAGUUCUUUGCGUUGCGGAUGCGCGGCACGAGCGGCAGGUAGGCCGGCGCAAGCAUGCCGAUAAUGCUGCUGCGUGCUACAGCCGUUUGGCUUGCUCCAGCGCGCGACUCCAGCUGCGUUCAAAGCAGUUAUGAGGGACAUACAUGGGGUCAAGUGCUAUAUGCAUGUGUUUGUGCGUGUGCGUGAACAGGUGCGCAUGCAAGUCCUGUGUGGCCAUCUGCGUCGUGAGAACCGGAAGUCCGGGCCGAGAACGACAACAAUGGACUCGCCCUCCAUUCUGCACUUCAUUUCUGUGCCCAUUCCCACCUGCACGUAUUAGUCCUCCCUCUCACCUUGCCGCACAGGUUGAACGCCGCACACAUGGUAAUGAAGUCUUUUCGGCCCUCCCACACUGAUAGCCGCUGGCUGAUGAUUGCUUGCAGCUCCUCCAGAGUCCGACACACGGUCAUGUCAUCCGCGGGGUCACGCCCGCUGCCCCUGCUUCUGCCGCUGGCGCGGCUGCCAUCGCCUGCCCUGCCUCCGCCGCUUCCCCUACCCNNNNNNNNNNNNNNNNNNNNNNNNNNNNNNNNNNNNNNNNNNNNNNNNNNNNNNNNNNNNNNNNNNNNNNNNNNNNNNNNNNNNNNNNNNNNNNNNNNNNGAGAAUAACGCAAGGAACGAAAGGUCAGGUGCGUGUAGGUCGCUGGGCCAAAGCCGCCUGAGUAGCUGUGGCUUGGUAUGGAUGAUAAAGCAACUGAAUCAAUUUGCCACCGGUGUUGAGGCGAGGGCGACCUGACCGCGAAAUACACGGCCCGAGGGCACGCCCCGUAUCAACACCCCUCGCGACCUCCAAACACGUGCACUGAACCGCGAAGCCCUCCCCCAAGCCUAUCGCGGCUGCUAUUCCCAUGUCCUCCUCCCCAACCAUUCUGCAUACAGGCUCUGGCGUGAGUCCCUGCCCGCGUCAUUUGACACCCGUCGACCACGACUGAGGUGCAACGCAUGUCGCUUACAAAUCCAACAUCCCGCCCGACACGAGAGGGGCAGAAACGGCGGGGCAGACGGCCAGCCUCUUGAACAUGAGCAUAGCAGUGCAAUAUCGCACAUUGGGUCCCCGCCUGCUUCACCUGGCCACCUUUGCUGAUUUGUCUGACAUCCCUGUCUACACACUUUUAUCCGCCCACGCUUGAGACGUCCUCCUCAGCGCGCAGGCUUCACGGUACCAACCGUGCGGUAUCAUCGCUACAUGAUGAGUGCACUGCCCCAACCAUUGAAGCAUCACAAGGUGCUUGCCUGCCGCCGCCGCCGCUGAUACGUACACGAUUGCUGCCACACAACCAACACAUCACACCCAACAAUCACAACAACAAAACAACUGAGACCCGCCGCCGUGCAACGCACACUGUACACGCCCCAGGGCCGAGAACACAACGCAACACAAGCACCUGACAUGCCUCAUCCAGGCAUGCGUCACUCAAUCGCCCACCGAGCCGACCUCGCACACGCCGUUCGUGAGCCCCUGCGGCUGACAUGCCCGGCCCUGCCCCCUUGGCACCGCAGCCCUGCCGCCUUGGCACCGCCGCCCAUUGCCCCACCCCCAUGCUGCGUGCCAUGUAAGAAUAAAGCCAGGUCCCCAUCAAGCCGCAGCAUAUAUCCCCGCCAAGCCACCAGACUCCUCUUGCCGCACGCUACCAACCACCACCAGCACAGGACCGGCACCUGCCUGUCCCCCUGUUUAGUUUGGGCUGAUAUUUACAACCCCCCACCCUCCCCUCCCCACCUUCCCCAUUGCCAACCUCGCCCACCGCGCCGACAUGCACGCCGGCACCUCGCUCGUGCCUCUCGAGGCCUCCCAUCUUCCGUAGCUAGAGAUCCCUGUCCACGAGUAUCCACUUGGGCUCCAGCCCACUCCUGAUGCACACGCCGGCAUUACCCAGGUCUGCAUGGUUUGCAUGCCUGCCUGUCUACCGUGCACGCACACCUGCCUAGCUACGCAGACCUACUACCGUCCUUUUUGACCCGCCUCCGCCGCCACCGCCGCCGUCUCCUCCCUCUGGCCGCCGUGCCGGCCGCGCCAGCAGCUGCUGUUGUGGGUUGCCGCCAGAGCCGCCGCCGCCCUUGUUGCUGUUGGUGGUGGUGGUUGCGGGCUGGUGUGGCGCGGCCGUAGUGACAGCCGCAGCGCCGCCCACGGCACCCGCUGUCACUGUUUCCACCGCCACCGCCGGCUGCUGCAGCCGGCGCAGCAGGUAGGCCUCCUGCUCGGAAGGAGUCAGGAAGUCCCAUUCCCAGUACGGCACUAGUAGGACGCCGCCCUCCUUAAACGCCCGCCGCAGCUGCCGAAUGCGAAUGGCCGUACCCCCUUCCACAGCAGCGCUGGGGUCUUGCUGCUGCGUUUGUGUCAAGAGGUAACGUUUCGGUCCGAGGAACUCCACCGCCGCCUGCUGCCCGUCACUCAGCCGCACCACCGCAUCCACUGGCGCCAACACUCCUGGCGCGACAACGCCCGUCUGAAGGGACUGAACGGCUAGGCCCCCUGCUGCCUUGAGGCCCUGCUGCUCAAGCCGCCGCAGCGCUGCAACGACCUGCUUUUGAGUAUCUGAUGUGGGCUUGGCGUCUUCCCUCUCAGUAGUCACCGCCGCUGCCAUCGCCGCCUGCAGUCCGCUGCCGCUGCCCAGGGCCGCCGCCACCUCGCCGCCUAGCUCCUGCUGCGCCUGCCACAGCUGUUUGAGAUGCUCAGUUGUAAGACCCUCCCAACGGCUUACUGCUUCACGGGCCAGCUGAAUGGAUAGCUGCUUCAUGUCGGGAGAAUACGUGCCUCCGAACACAGCCAUGGCCCACAGGCUGUUGCAUACGUGCUGGUGCAGGACUGUGUCAGAGUCAUGCUGCAGCAGCUCGCCCAGCCGACCGCACACCGCCGCCUCCAAGCCAGCGUGCCGCAGCUGCAGCACCGCCAGCGCGUACAGCGUAUUGGCACAGUUCUGACCACCGGCACUACUGGCGCGCAUGGCUGCUACUGCUGCGCCCGAGUCAAGCAGCUCCGCCGGCGGCUGGUGGCGCAUCAACGCAAGCGCGUACAGCAGAUUGGACCAGGCCUGAGAUGUUGCGCGGGCCAUGGCGCCCGACUGCGUUGCUGCGUCCACCGCUGCUGAAACCCACUGCCGCUGCUCUGCCGGCGCCUCCGGGCCCGCCCCAAAUCCCAUCUUGGCUAGGGCCCACGCUGAGUUGCUGAGGUCCUGAGCGAUGUACCCGUCAAACCCCCGCCGCAUGUCCUCUUCGGCCACUGCCACCACCAGCUCUGCCUGCUCGCUGCAUAGCUGCAGCCCCUCCAGCGCCAGCAGGAUGUUGGAUAGCUGUUGCGGGAUAAAUGCUGCAGCGAGCUCCGGUUUCCGGAGCUGCUGCAGUGCCUCCCCGCACAGCGCCUCAACUGCUGACCGGUACUCUGGUCCUGUGCACCCCAGAGCUUUGAGAGCCCAUAGGCUGUUUGAAACAUCUUGCGGCUUGAAGCCGUGGCCCGCCACCGUUCUCAAGCGAGAAGCCACAGCUGCCGCCAAGGUCUGCAAGUGCGGAGAUGAGGUGGGGUCCCAGCCUGAGCCCCGCUGCUGCUGGUCUUGCUUGAGCUUGCCGAGCGCGUACAUGACAAUUGCGAGGUUCUGAGGUUCCGCCUUCCCAAGAACCUCAGGAUCCACUAGCCGCUCCAGCAGAGCUGCUGCAAGCUGAGCCUCCGUGCCGCCGCCGACCAAUCCAGCUUUGCCCAGCGCCCACAGCGGAAUGCUGCAGUUCUUUGCGUUGCGGAUGCGCGGCACGAGCGGCAGGUAGGCCGGCGCAAGCAUGCCGAUAAUGCUGCUGCGUGCUACAGCCGUUUGGCUUGCUCCAGCGCGCGACUCCAGCUGCGUUCAAAGCAGUUAUGAGGGACAUACAUGGGGUCAAGUGCUAUAUGCAUGUGUUUGUGCGUGUGCGUGAACAGGUGCGCAUGCAAGUCCUGUGUGGCCAUCUGCGUCGUGAGAACCGGAAGUCCGGGCCGAGAACGACAACAAUGGACUCGCCCUCCAUUCUGCACUUCAUUUCUGUGCCCAUUCCCACCUGCACGUAUUAGUCCUCCCUCUCACCUUGCCGCACAGGUUGAACGCCGCACACAUGGUAAUGAAGUCUUUUCGGCCCUCCCACACUGAUAGCCGCUGGCUGAUGAUUGCUUGCAGCUCCUCCAGAGUCCGACACACGGUCAUGUCAUCCGCGGGGUCACGCCCGCUGCCCCUGCUUCUGCCGCUGGCGCGGCUGCCAUCGCCUGCCCUGCCUCCGCCGCUUCCCCUACCCGCCGCCGCCUGCACUAUUGGCCGCCCGAGGCGGGAGCUACUGCUGCCGCAGAGCACUACCGCCGUCGAGACGCGCAGUGGGGAUGAGCUGCUACUGUUGAGUGCUGGGACAGAAGUAGCGGCGGCAGCGCGCGGUGAGCUGGGGCCGGUGUCGGCAGCGGUCCGAUGCAUGCCAUAAACGAACAGUCUUCUAAACGCGCACGCCGGUGGCGGUGCCUGGAGACGGGCUGAUAACGAUUGGCUACAGCCAUGUACGCUGUGCCUGUGCGCACCAGCGGGAGAGCCCGCGACGACGCGCAGGGCGAGCAUCUCGGGCCUCCUCACGGCGGCGACCUGAGCUAUAGCGACUCUAUCCGUCUACGUGUCUGAGCACUGCAAAUGCAUUAGGCUUGCAUUUGUGGGAGAAUAACGCAAGGAACGAAAGGUCAGGUGCGUGUAGGUCGCUGGGCCAAAGCCGCCUGAGUAGCUGUGGCUUGGUAUGGAUGAUAAAGCAACUGAAUCAAUUUGCCACCGGUGUUGAGGCGAGGGCGACCUGACCGCGAAAUACACGGCCCGAGGGCACGCCCCGUAUCAACACCCCUCGCGACCUCCAAACACGUGCACUGAACCGCGAAGCCCUCCCCCAAGCCUAUCGCGGCUGCUAUUCCCAUGUCCUCCUCCCCAACCAUUCUGCAUACAGGCUCUGGCGUGAGUCCCUGCCCGCGUCAUUUGACACCCGUCGACCACGACUGAGGUGCAACGCAUGUCGCUUACAAAUCCAACAUCCCGCCCGACACGAGAGGGGCAGAAACGGCGGGGCAGACGGCCAGCCUCUUGAACAUGAGCAUAGCAGUGCAAUAUCGCACAUUGGGUCCCCGCCUGCUUCACCUGGCCACCUUUGCUGAUUUGUCUGACAUCCCUGUCUACACACUUUUAUCCGCCCACGCUUGAGACGUCCUCCUCAGCGCGCAGGCUUCACGGUACCAACCGUGCGGUAUCAUCGCUACAUGAUGAGUGCACUGCCCCAACCAUUGAAGCAUCACAAGGUGCUUGCCUGCCGCCGCCGCCGCUGAUACGUACACGAUUGCUGCCACACAACCAACACAUCACACCCAACAAUCACAACAACAAAACAACUGAGACCCGCCGCCGCGCAACGCACACUGCUGUACACGCCCCAGGGCCGAGAACACAACGCAACACAAGCACCUGACAUGCCUCAUCCAGGCAUGCGUCACUCAAUCGCCCACCGAGCCGACCUCGCACACGCCGUUCGUGAGCCCCUGCGGCUGACAUGCCCGGCCCUGCCCCCUUGGCACCGCAGCCCUGCCGCCUUGGCACCGCCGCCCAUUGCCCCACCCCCAUGCUGCGUGCCAUGUAAGAAUAAAGCCAGGUCCCCAUCAAGCCGCAGCAUAUAUCCCCGCCAAGCCACCACACUCCUCUUGCCGCACGCUACCAACCACCACCAGCACAGGACCGGCACCUGCCUGUCCCCCUGUUUAGUUUGGGCUGAUAUUUACAACCCCCCACCCUCCCCUCCCCACCUUCCCCAUUGCCAACCUCGCCCACCGCGCCGACAUACACGCCGGCACCUCGCUCGUGCCUCUCGAGGCCUCCCAUCUUCCGUAGCUAGAGAUCCCCAUCCACUAGCAUCCACUUGGGCUCCAGCCCACUCCUGAUGCACACGCCAGCAUUAUCCAGGUCUGCAUGGUUUGCAUGUCUGCCUACCGUGCACGCACACCUGCCUAGCUACGCCGACCUACUACCGUCCUCCUCGACCCGACCCGCCGCCGCCGCCGCCUCCCUCUGGCCGCCGUGCCGGCCGCACCAGCAGCUGCUGUUGUGGGUUGCCGCCAGAGCCGCCGCCGCCCUUGCUGGUAGUGGUGGUGGUUGCGGGCUGCUGCGGCGCGGCCGUAAUGACAGCCGCAGCGCCGCCCACGGCACCCACUGCCACUGUUUCCACCGCCACCGCCGGCUGCUGCAGCCGGCGCAGCAGGUAGGCCUCCUGCUCCUCCGGGCUCUUCAGGCCCGCCCACUCCCAGUACGGCAGCACAAGAACGCCGCCGCCCUCCCCGAACGCCCGCCGCAGCUGCCGAAUGCGCAUGGCCGUACCACCGUCAACAGCGGUGGGGUCGCGCUUUAGAUUGGACAGAAAGCGUGCCGGUCCGAGGAGCUCCACCGCCGCCUGCUGCCCGUCACUCAGCCGCACCACCGCAUCCACUGGCGCCAACGCGCCUUGCGCGACCACGCCCGUUUGUACGGACACGACGGCAAGGCCUCCUGCUGCCUCACGCCCCUGGUGCUGCUCAAGCCGCCGCAGCGCUGCGACGACCUGCUUUUGGAUGUCAGAUGUGGGCUUGGCGUUUUCCCUCUCAGCAGUCACCGCCGCUGCCAUCGCCGCCUGCAGGCCGGGGCUGCUCCCCAGGGCCGCCGCAACCUCGCCGCCUAGCUCUUGCUGCGCCUGCCACAGCUGAUUGAGAUUCUCAGUUGUAAAACCCUCCCAACGGCUUACUGCUUCACGGGCUAGCUGAAUGGAUAGCUGCUGCAUGUCGGGAGAAUACGUGCCUCCAAUCACCGCCAUGGCCCACAGGCUGUUUGAUAUGUUUUGGUUGUUUACCGCCUGCCUGUCGCGCUGCAGCAGCUCGCCCAGCCGGCCGCACACCGCCGCCUCCAAGCCAGCGUGCCGCAGCUGCAGCACCGCCAGCGCCCAGAGCGUGUUUGCACAGUUCUGACCACCGGCACUACUGGCGCGCAUGGCUGCUGCUGCUGCACCCGCAUCCAGCAGCUCCGGCGGCGGCUGGUGGCGCAUCAACGCAAGCGCGUACAGCAGGUUGGCCCAGGCCUGAGGCGUCGCACGGGCCAUGACGCCCGGCCGCAUUGCUGCGACCACCGCUGCCGAAGCCCACUGCCGCUGCUCUGCCGGCGCCUCCGGGCCCACCCCAAAUCCGAUCUUGGCCAGGGCCCACGCUGAGUUGCUGAGGUCCUGAGCCACGUACCCGGCAAAUCCCCGACGCACGUCCUCUGCGGCCACUGCCACCACCAGCUCUGCCUGCUCGCCGCCCAGCUGCAGCCCCUCCAGCGCCAGCAGGAUGUUGGACAGAUGCUGCGGCUUGAACGCUUCAGCAUCCUUCGGUGCUCGGAGCUGCCGCAGCGCCUCCCCGCACAGCGCCUCAACUGCUGAUCGGUACUCUGGUCCCAUGCAACCCAAAGCCGCAAACGCCCAGAGGGUAUUGGACAGAUGUUGCGUCUCCAUGCUGAGACUGAGCGCCGCUGCCGCCUCUGCCAGCGGCAGCAGGAGUUCCGGUUCCGGGUAACCCAGCUUGGCGCACGCCCAGAGAAUGUUGGACACGUCCUGUGCUGUGAAGCCGUGACCAACCGCCACUCCCAACCGGGAGGCCACAGCUGCCGCCAAGGUCUGCAAGUGCGGAGAUGAGGUGGGGUCCCAGCCUGAGCCCCGCUGCUCCUGGUCUUGCUUGAUCUUGCCGAGUGCGUACAUGACGUUUGUAAGACUUUGAGGUUUUGCAGUUCCAAGAACCUCUGAAUCCAACAGCCGCUCCAGCAGCGCUGCUAUGAGCUGAGCCUCCAUGGCCGAGCCGCCGCUGAUCCCUGCUUUCCCCAGCGCCCACAGCACGAUGCUGCAAUCAACCGCCUUGCGGAUGCGCGGCACGAGCGGCAGGUAGGCCGGCGCAAGCAUGCCGAUAAUGCUGCUGCGUGCUACAGCCGUUUGGCUUGCUCCAGCGCGCGACUCCAGCUGCGUUCAAAACAGUUAUGAGGGACAUACAUGGGGUCAAGUGCUAUAUGCAUGUGUUUGUGCGUGUGCGUGAACAGGUGCGCAUGCAAGUCCUGUGUGGCCAUCUGCGUCGUGAGAACCGGAAGUCCGGGCCGAGAAUGACAAC